AUUUGCCAUUUCCUUUAGUUCCGUGAACUUUACUGGUAACGAAGGAAUACUAGCCAUUGCCAUUAAUUUUCUCUUUAACUCAGUGUCCAUAUUACUCGUAGGUUCACGUUCCCUUUUAUAGGGGCCACCAUGUAAAUUCCAGUCAAACACAUAAAACCCAAGUUGGGCAUAAUCAGACCAAACUUCUGAGCAUCCCCAAUUUGGGGAGUCGAGUCGCUCCGAAAUAUCGUCAUGUUCCGCAUAACUUUCAAUAACUAGGCAAGGUAUUGAGCCUUCACCAGCAGUUGAGAAUAAGCCGAUUCAUACAUUCCUCAAUAAAAGGUGAUUAAUUGAAAAGUAAGAUUAUACUUCAAAUUUAUUAAUUACAUGUUUAUGGGAAAACGAGUCGUCCUGUAAAUUAUUUAUUUAGUCUUGUAAGCUAU
RNAcentral lists this unclassified non-coding RNA (422 nucleotides) under Moritella viscosa. Its description in RNAcentral is "putative sRNA". Lineage: Bacteria; Pseudomonadati; Pseudomonadota; Gammaproteobacteria; Alteromonadales; Moritellaceae. The record is from RNAcentral.